RNAcentral lists this ribosomal RNA (292 nucleotides) under uncultured bacterium. RNAcentral's name for it is "partial 16S ribosomal RNA". The record is from RNAcentral.
GGACUACUAGGGUAUCUAAUCCUGUUUGCUCCCCACGCUCUCGCGCCUCAGCGUCAGUUUCAGUCCAGGUAGCCGCCUUCGCCACUGGUGUUCCUUCCGAUAUCUACGCAUUUCACCGCUACACCGGAAAUUCCACUACCCUCUACUGUACUCUAGUCUGACAGUCUGAGCUGCAGUUCCCAGGUUAAGCCCGGGGAUUUCACAGCUCUCUUAUCUAACCGCCUACGCGCCCUUUACGCCCAGUAAUUCCGAUUAACGCUCGCACCCUCUGUAUUACCGCGGCUGCUGGCAC